GAUGGGGAUGCGUUCCAUUAGUUAGUUGGCGGGGUAACGGCCCACCAAGACAACGAUGGAUAGGGGUUCUGAGAGGAAGGUCCCCCACAUUGGAACUGAGACACGGUCCAAACUCCUACGGGAGGCAGCAGUGAGGAAUAUUGGUCAAUGGACGAGAGUCUGAACCAGCCAAGUAGCGUGAAGGAUGACUGCCCUAUGGGUUGUAAACUUCUUUUAUAUGGGAAUAAAAUGUUCCACGUGUGGGAUUUUGUAUGUACCAUAUGAAUAAGGAUCGGCUAACUCCGUGCCAGCAGCCGCGGUAAUACGGAGGAUCCGAGCGUUAUCCGGAUUUAUUGGGUUUAAAGGGAGCGUAGGUGGAUUGUUAAGUCAGUUGUGAAAGUUUGCGGCUCAACCGUAAAAUUGCAGUUGAAACUGGCAGUCUUGAGUACAGUAGAGGUGGGCGGAAUUCGUGGUGUAGCGGUGAAAUGCUUAGAUAUCACGAAGAACUCCGAUUGCGAAGGCAGCUCACUGGACUGCAACUGACACUGAUGCUCGAAAGUGUGGGUAUCAAACAGGAUUAGAUACCCUGGUAGUCCACACAGUAAACGAUGAAUACUCGCUGUUUGCGAUAUAC
Molecule: ribosomal RNA, 613 nt
Filed under: uncultured bacterium
Lineage: Bacteria
Description: bacterial SSU rRNA
Rfam family: Bacterial small subunit ribosomal RNA
Source: RNAcentral